AUACCUUUCUCGGCCUUUUGGCUAAGAUCAAGUGUAGUAUCUGUUCUUAUCAGUUUAAUAUCUGAUAUGUGGACCAAGUGUUCACAACGAUAUUAAAUUUAUUUUUUGUGGGAGAGAGUCCAUCACGGUAGCUUGCUGCCGGGGCUCUCACGUGUCGCCCAGUCGUUGCACUAUUGCCUGGGCUUGGCGCACCCCAA
Small nuclear RNA from Triticum dicoccoides, 197 nucleotides. RefSeq annotates it as U2 spliceosomal RNA. Lineage: Eukaryota; Viridiplantae; Streptophyta; Magnoliopsida; Poales; Poaceae. The transcript has a single exon. The record is from RefSeq and is a predicted model, not a curated record.